This 162-nucleotide ribosomal RNA is filed under the name uncultured bacterium. RNAcentral's name for it is "partial 16S ribosomal RNA". It matches the Rfam family "Bacterial small subunit ribosomal RNA", at positions 355 to 522 of the family's 1533-position model. The record is from RNAcentral.
UCGAGGAUCUUCGGCAAUGGACGCAAGUCUGACCGAGCGACGCCGCGUGCGGGAUGAAGGCUUUCGGGUUGUAAACCGCUGUCAGUGGGGAGGAAAGCCGAAAGGUCUGACCUAUCCCUGGAGGAAGCACGGGCUAAGUUCGUUCUUCACGGAGCCUUCCUC